GUGAACGCUGGCGAUAGGCCUAACACCUGCAAGUCGCACGGCAGCACAGUAAGAGCUUGCUCUUCCGGGUGGCGAGUGGCGGACGGGUGAGGAAUACAUCGGAAUCUACUUUUUCGUGGGGGAUAACGCAGGGAAACUUACGCUAAUACCGCAUACGACCUACGGGUGAAAGCAGGGGAUCUUCGGACCUUGCGCGAUUGAAUGAGCCGAUGUCGGAUUAGCUAGUUGGCGGGGUAAAGGCCCACCAAGGCGACGAUCCGUAGCUGGUCUGAGAGGAUGAUCAGCCACACUGGAACUGAGACACGGUCCAGACUCCUACGGGAGGCAGCAGUGGGGAAUAUUGGACAAUGGGCGCAAGCCUGAUCCAGCCAUACCGCGUGGGUGAAGAAGGCCUUCGGGUUGUAAAGCCCUUUUGUUGGGAAAGAAAAGCAGCAGGUUAAUACCCCGCUGUUCUGACGGUACCCAAAGAAUAAGCACCGGCUAACUUCGUG
This 491-nucleotide ribosomal RNA is filed under the name uncultured bacterium. Its description in RNAcentral is "partial 16S ribosomal RNA". It matches the Rfam family "Bacterial small subunit ribosomal RNA", at positions 29 to 507 of the family's 1533-position model. The record is from RNAcentral.